AAGCUGAGGGACAUCAAGAAGGUGUCUUCAAAUUUGAGAAAGAGAGAGAUUGAUGCUGCUCUUAAAAUUUUUCAUGCUAUUCUUUAUGGGGUGAAGGUGAAGGACAAAGAUCUAAAGAGAAAUAUACUAGAUUUCUCUGGGUUUUUAUGGGGUCCUCAAGAGGAGUUCUGCAGAUGCUAGAAGAACUUGGUGGCAAUGAUUUACCUGCUGUCAAUGACAUGGAUGAGAAUG
Long non-coding RNA from Dioscorea cayenensis subsp. rotundata (Guinea yam), 231 nucleotides. RefSeq lists it as uncharacterized. NCBI's taxonomy places the organism in Eukaryota, Viridiplantae, Streptophyta, Magnoliopsida, Dioscoreales, Dioscoreaceae. The record is from RefSeq and is a predicted model, not a curated record. The transcript has 4 exons.